CAAAUUAGGAAUAACGAGUGAGUUUGGUCUGGGCGUUGCUGACGUAGCAGCUAAGUAAAUAGACGUUUUCGCUCAUUUCAAUUCCGAACCAAACGAGAAAGCAACAGAGACAUAGAAGAGCAAACGAAUAUCCAUAUUUGGAUCAUCAAUCAUUGAUUAAUCGACGGUCACAAAUUGUCGUUAAUGGCUACCGGAGUAGAGUGGAAGGAAUCGGAGAAGGUGGCCGGAAUCGCCCUGGAGUUUCCGGCCAAUGACAAUGCAACGUCGUCUCCUUCUUCGCCUCACAAGCUUCCUCGGCGACUUCGCCGGCGUCUCCUCGAGUCGAAGAGCCCUUCUACGGUGGAAGAUAUCGAAGCUAAGCUCAAAGAGGCCGAUCUCCGCCGCCAGCAAUUCUAUGAAGGUUUAUCAAACAAGGCGCGACCCAAAAUGAGAAGUCACUCAUGGUCCCCUUUGCAAGAGGCAGACCUUGGUCAGAGGCUUGAAGCAAAACUUAAGGCUGCUGAGCAAAAAAGGUUGAGCAUUCUAGCUAAUGCUCAAAUGCGGUUGGCAAAGUUGGAUGAGUUGCGACAAGCAGCUAAAACUGGACUAGAAAUGCGUUUUGUGAAGGAACGUGAUGAGCUUGGUAUGAAGGUUGAAUCAAGAGUACAGCAAGCGGAGACAAACAGGAUGCUUCUCCUCAAAGCUUAUAGGCAACGUAGGGCUGCAAAGGAAGAGCGCGCUGCUCAGUCAUUGAUGAGGAGGAUGAUUCAGGACAGCAAGUAUAAGGAGUGUGUGCGUGCUGCAAUUCACCAAAAACGUGCUGCUGCUGAGAGGAAAAGGUUGGGAUUGUUGGAAGCAGAGAAGACAAGGGCACAUGCAAGGGUAUUGCAAGUGCGGAAGGUAGUCAAGUUUGUUUAUAGUCAGCGUGAAAUUGAAAGAAGAAGAAUGAAGGAUCAACUAGAAGAUCGGCUCCAAAGGGCUAAAAGACAAAGAGAAGAACACUUGAGGCAGAAAGGGAGUUUGCAUAGUUCUGUUUGUGCCAAUUCAAAAGUGAUAAAUGAGCAAGGGGAGCUCCUUGCAAGAAAGUUAGCAAGGUGCUGGAGACGAUUUGUGAGAUUGAGGAGAACAACUUUUUCAUUGACAAAAUCUUACAAUGACUUAGAAAUCUCUCUAGAGUCUGUUAGGUCGAUGCCAUUUGAGAAGCUUGCCCUCCAGAUGGAGUCAGCCAACACUAUCCAAACUGUGAAAGCUUUACUUGACCGUUUUGAGAGUCGCCUCAUGAUCUCACAUGCAGCUACCCCUACCAGGAGUCUAUCUAAUUUAGAAAACAUUGAUAACCUUCUUAUGCGUGUCACUUCUCCAAAGCGAAGGGGCAAUACCAAUAACAGAGGGGUAAACAGAGUGGGUUCCAUCAGAGAAGGAGCUCAAAGACAAGUUAAAUUAUCAAGGUACCUAGUGAGGGUUGUGCUCUGUGCUUACAUGAUAUUGGGACACCCAGAUGCAGUUUUCAGUGAAAAGGGAGAGCAUGAAAUUGCUCUGGCCGAGUCAGCAGCAACAUUUGUCCAAGAGUUUGAGUUGCUGAUCAAGAUUAUAUCAGAUGGCCCUACUCACACUACUCAAGGGGGAACAAACUCCUCAGCUCCUAAUCAACUGACCUUCAGAUCCCAGCUGGAAGCUUUUGAUAGAUCAUGGUGCUCUUACCUGUAUUCCUUUGUGGCAUGGAAGGUUAAGGAUGCAAAGCUGUUAGAGGAGGAUUUGGUGAAAGCUGCUAGCCAACUGGAGGUUUCCAUGAUGCAAAAUUGCAAGCUGACUCCAGAAGGGGAUAAUGGCAGUCUUUCUCAUGAUAUGAAGGCCAUACAAAAGCAGGUGACAGAGGAUCACAAACUUUUAAGGACUAAAGUCCAGAAUCUGAGUGGUAAUGCUGGGCUUGAACAGAUGGAAUUUGCUCUCUCUGAUGCAUGGUCUAGAUUCUUUGAAGCCAAGGAGACUGGAAGUUCAUUAGUAUCAUCAGUUGCUCAUAUUUCUUCUCCAAUUCUGCCUGGUUCAUCAAAUAACUCUUCAAUUUUGGGUGAAAUGGGGAGUAUUUCUGAAAGCAUGGAGAGGUCAGACCAUAUUGUGUAUCCCUUGUUUAAGAAAGAUGAUUCUUCCCCAGGAAAUGAAGUGGUUUCAUCCACUCCUUUGAGAAGUGACGUGGACGGCUAUGGUGCAAUGUCAGUCACUGAGAAUGAACUACUUGUAAAUGAGAUUGUUCAUGAGCAUGGCCAUGGUUUUGCAGAUAGCUUUGAUGUUAGUGACAAUGAUCAGAGUAGUAUAAAGGAAAAAGUUAGGGAAACAAUGGAAAAGGCAUUCUGGGAUGGGAUCAUGGACUCCUUGAAACAGGAUGAGCCUGACUACAGUUGGGUUCUUAAACUCAUGAAGGAAGUCAAGGAUGAACUAUGCGAGAUGUCUCCUCAAAGUUGGAGACAGGAGAUUGUGGAGACCAUUGAUAUUGAUAUUCUCCCACAGGUGCUGAGAGCAGAAAUAUUAGACAUUGAUUUCCUUGGAAAGAUCCUAGAGUUUGCCUUGGUCACUUUGCAGAAACUUUCUGCUCCUGCUAAUGAUGACAAGAUGAAGGCUGCUCACUACAAGUUAUUAAAAAGACUCAGAGAUGCUUCACAGGCUGGAGAUAAAUCAAAUGCUUCAUUUGCCCUCUUGAUGGUUGAGGGUUUGCGGUUUGUUCUAGAGCAGAUUCAGACUCUUAGGCAAGAAAUUAGCAGAGCACGCAUAAGAAUGAUGGAACCACUCAUAAAGGGGCCUGCUGGUUUGGAAUACCUGAAGAAAGCUUUUGCCAACCGGUAUGGACCACCCACUGAUGCCCAUACUUCUCUACCAUUGACCAUGCAAUGGCUUUCAUCAGUGCAUUCAAGUGCAGAGCAGGAGUGGGAUGAAUACAAGGAUUCUGUAUCAUCUUUGACAGUGAACAAUGAAAGAUUAUAUCAGGGCCUUCCACCCACCACUCUCCGAACUGGUGGCAGUAUUCCAAUGGCAUCCAGAUUAGGCUCUCCAAGUUCUAAAGGUGAUGAACAACCGGAAUGCAAGGGAGAAAGGGUUGAUUUGUUAGUGCGGGUGGGUCUGUUAAAGCUGGUGAAUGAGAUUGGGGGCCUGAUGCUGGAAACUCUGCCUGAAACUCUUAAGCUUAACCUCUCCAGGCUAAGGGGUGUCCAGUCUCAAUUUCAGAAGAUCAUUGUGAUUGCUACCAGGUGAGUGAAUAUUUGUAUUUUUGCUCGCAUUCCCCUUCUGGCAGUCAUCUGCACUGGAUGUGAAAUAGUAAGGACACAACCUAGCACCUUGUAGCAAUUUGGACAACAUGGUUAUACCUAAGGAAACUCCAUUAUAUCAGAUGUUUAUGGUCUGUUGUUCCCAAUCAAAUAUGUGUUUGCAUGAGCAUGCCUGUUUGUCCAUGGUUAUACACUUAGUGUAGUAGGGUUUGCACAUGUUUGGAUGGUUAAGAGUUUUGUGGCUAUGUUGAUUUUAGCUUGCUUGCGUUUUUCUGUAGUUUGUUGGCCUGAUACAUUGUAAGAAAGUCGGUAGCUGCUUAAUUAGAUGUUUUGAGUUUGAGUCUCUUCUACUACUGCUUUCCCAUCUAUUUAGUUGAUUUUGUCUCUCCAUUUGUGCAUCAGGAUGUUAGCUUGAUAUAUAUCAAGGGUCAAGUUGGUAGCUUAAAGGGUGUUUGCUUCAAAGGAUGGGGCUUUCUCAGUUAGAUCCCUUUAUUCUAUGAUGGAGCCAUGGGGUCUUUCUUUGUUCCCUAGUGAAAGAAUUUGGAGGGCAAGAGUGCCCCCCAAGGUAGCUUUCUUUGCUUGGGAGGCUUCUUGGGGUAAAGUUUUAACGCAGGAGCAACUUCAAAGGAGGGGGUUCUCUUUGGCAAAUAGGUGCUUUCUCUGUUUAUCUGAAGAAGAAACAAUGGAUCAUCUCCUACUGCAUUGUAUCAAGACGCGGAUCCUAUGGAACCUCCUUUUCUCUCUUUUUGGUAUAUCUUGGACUCUCUCGGGUACAGUGAAGACAACCCUUCUUGGGUGGAAUGGAGGGUUUGUGGGAAAAAGACGUAAGAAGGCUUGGCAAAUGGCGCCGUUAUGUAUUUUUUGGUCAGUUUGGAAGGAGAGAAAUAGGUUAGCGUUUGGGGAUGAGGACCUUUCGCUUCAAAGGUUGAAAUAUUCUUUUGUAUGUAAUCUUUGGUUUUGGGUCAGGGGUUCCCUAGCAGAGAGUCAUUCUUCUCUUGUAAGUUUUGUAGACUGGAUAGGCUCCUAGUUAGGAAAGGUGGUGUGUAUACUCCCUGUAUACUUAGAGGACACCGGUUUUUGGUGUUCCCUCUUUUCGUUUAAUAUACUUAUUUUACUUAUAAAAAAAAAAAAAGUAAAAAAUAGGUAUUAAGUCAAAAUAAC
Molecule: RNA transcript, 4397 nt
Organism: Vitis vinifera (wine grape)
Lineage: Eukaryota; Viridiplantae; Streptophyta; Magnoliopsida; Vitales; Vitaceae
Exons: 11
Source: RefSeq, a predicted model, not a curated record